GUUUCAUUUAAAAUUUAAUAAGAAUUUUAUUUUUUAGUUAAAAAGCUAAAAUAUAUUCAAAAGACGAGAAGACCCUAUAAAUCUUGAUUAUUUAAUAAUUUUUAGUUUAUUUUGAUUUUUUUUGUUAUAAAUUUAUUAAUUAAUUUUAUUGGGGUGAUAUUAAAAUUUAAAUAACUUUUAAUAAUUUUUAUCAUUUAUUUAUGAUUAAGUGAUCCAUUAUUAGUGAUUAAAAAAUUAAGUUACUUUAGGGAUAACAGCGUAAUUUUUUUGGAGAGUUCUUAUCGAUAAAAAAGUUUGCGACCUCGAUGUUGGAUUAAGAUUCAUAUUUAAAUGUAGAAGUUUAAAUAUAAAGUCUGUUCGACUUUUUAUUCUUACAUGAUCUGAGUUCAAACCGGUGUAAGCCAGGUUGGUUUCUAUCUUUGAUUUAGUAAAAUAUUUUAGUACGAAAGGAAUUAAUAUUUAUUUUUUAAAAAUUAAUUUAUGAAU
RNAcentral lists this ribosomal RNA (486 nucleotides) under Teleopsis dalmanni. RNAcentral's name for it is "partial 16S ribosomal RNA". The stretch from base 250 to 408 matches the Rfam family "Bacterial large subunit ribosomal RNA", at positions 2473 to 2632 of the family's 2925-position model. Lineage: Eukaryota; Metazoa; Arthropoda; Insecta; Diptera; Diopsidae. The record is from RNAcentral.